Molecule: ribosomal RNA, 358 nt
Filed under: Rhizoctonia solani
Lineage: Eukaryota; Fungi; Basidiomycota; Agaricomycetes; Cantharellales; Ceratobasidiaceae
Description: partial large subunit ribosomal RNA
Rfam family: Bacterial large subunit ribosomal RNA
Source: RNAcentral
GACCCUAUGCAGCUUCUACUGUAGUUAGUUAUCACAUUCUCAUAAACUUUGUGUAGCGUAUAAGGUUAAUGUUUGUUUUAAAAACAAAAAGUCGAUAGACACAGUUGAAACACCUUUCUUGGUUUUAUGUUAAUGUUCACCUAAUCUUUUAUGGUUAGGGAUAAAUGACUAAUUGGCAGUUUGUCUGGGGCGGACGUCUUUAAUAGAGUAUCAGAGACAUCCACAAGGUAUGUCUUAAAUUGGAUGGAGACCAAGCAAGCCAUGAACGGUAUAAUAAGGUAUAAUGACUUAAGCAUGCUUAACUGAGAGACCUAUAAGUCAAACAGAUACGUAAGUAGGGCAUAAUGAUCCGGCGGUA